RNAcentral lists this ribosomal RNA (407 nucleotides) under uncultured bacterium. RNAcentral's name for it is "partial 16S ribosomal RNA". It matches the Rfam family "Bacterial small subunit ribosomal RNA", at positions 30 to 526 of the family's 1533-position model. The record is from RNAcentral.
AUUGAACGCUAGCGGGAUGCCUUACACAUGAAAUUCGAACGUAGUGGCGAACGGGUGAGUAAUGUAUCGGAACGUGCCCAGUAGCGGGGGAUAACUACGCGAAAGCGUAGCUAAUACCGCAUACUAUUGGAGCGGCCGCUAUCGGAUUAGCUUGUUGUGUGGGUAACGGCUCACCAAGGCGACGAUCCGUAGCUGGUUUGAGAGGAAGACCAGCCACACUGGGACUGAGACACGGCCCAGACUCCUACGGGAGGCAGCAGUGGGGAAUUGUGGACAAUGGGGGAAACCCUGAUCCAGCCAUCCCGCGUGUGCGAUGAAGGCCUUCGGGUUGUAAAGCACUUUUGGCAGGAAAGCGGUACCUGAAGAAUAAGCAACGGCUAACUACGUGCCAGCCGCCGCGGUAAUAC